This 257-nucleotide long non-coding RNA is filed under the name Ananas comosus (pineapple). RNAcentral's name for it is "long non-coding RNA (ACOM_LNC040106)". Lineage: Eukaryota; Viridiplantae; Streptophyta; Magnoliopsida; Poales; Bromeliaceae. The record is from RNAcentral.
GGGAUAUGUUGGAAAUUGGAUCAUUUUAUAAGGAUAUAUAUGCAAAAAGAAGGGAAAAAAAAGUUUGAAAUGUCUAUAAUAAUUUAGUUAUAAAAAAUAUAAGAUGGAAGAGAGUAAGAAGAGGUAUUAGUGUUUACUGAUGGAUACUUAGAACUUGUUUGGUUCACUUAUUUUAAACUCUGGAAUCAGAAUGAGUUUAGCUGAUUUUGAUAGUUGUUAUUUGGAGAUAUCGAACAGGUUGCAUUUUUAUAUAUUUU